GUUGACUAUGAAAUGAGAUUAUAAUUUUCAUUGUUCAUAUUCUGUCAACUAGAUAUAUAAGCUUAAUUUGUACUGUAUCAAAGUUCAUAAAAAUGGCGAAGAUGUCCACCACUUUCUUCAUCACAACCAUUAUGUUGGCAGUUUUUCUAUCAGCUCCAACAUUGGCCCAAGUUGAAGAGAGUAACGUUGGUUCAUGUAAGGUUGCUGGUGAAUUUUGUGGAGGAUUCGCCGGAUUCGCUUGCUGCAAAGGAUUAACCUGCGUUCUUGAAGGCAGUUUCCCAGAUGCCGGAGGAGUUUGCAAGCGGAAAUAUUAGCACAAUCGUUGAGUUUUCUAAUGAUCAAGCAGCUUCUCAUCUUCUUAUUAAGCGAUUUUAAUAACCAAAAUGUUAUACGUUCUUUCCUUUCCUUCUGAGUUCAGUUUGAUGUAAUUCAUUUUACUGUUGGUUACAUCAUUUAUCAAUAUAUAAAUAAACUACUACGAGUACUAUAUGUGAUAUGAUGUGUGGAGGUAUGUCUAAUUUCAUUCCAUUAUGGUGUACUAUGAUUGUAAUAAAUUCAUUUCAUUAUUUAAUAUAAA
This is a long non-coding RNA of Chenopodium quinoa (quinoa), 577 nucleotides long. RefSeq lists it as uncharacterized. The transcript is spliced from 2 exons. NCBI's taxonomy places the organism in Eukaryota, Viridiplantae, Streptophyta, Magnoliopsida, Caryophyllales, Amaranthaceae. The record is from RefSeq and is a predicted model, not a curated record.